GAUUUUUAUAAAUAAGCAAGUUAUAAUAUAACUUCUGAAUGAAUUAAAAUAAAUCUUACACAAUCGUCUUUGGAUGCGUUAUAUGUGGGCACACUGUGACCAUGUGAUUGUUUCAAAUCAUCAAUCAUUUGAUUCAAAUGUCAUGAAUGUGGGAGAUUAAUAAAUGAUGUAAAAAAAUCUGUAAACACAUAAACAUGAUAAAGACAAGAAGAAGAAUUUAAAAUUUGCAAAUCCAAAAACAAA
This 243-nucleotide long non-coding RNA is filed under the name Mytilus galloprovincialis (Mediterranean mussel). The record is from RNAcentral. Lineage: Eukaryota; Metazoa; Mollusca; Bivalvia; Mytilida; Mytilidae.